Molecule: ribosomal RNA, 775 nt
Filed under: uncultured Neocallimastigales
Lineage: Eukaryota; Fungi; Neocallimastigomycota; Neocallimastigomycetes; Neocallimastigales
Description: partial large subunit ribosomal RNA
Rfam family: Eukaryotic large subunit ribosomal RNA
Source: RNAcentral
UUAUGUGAUCGUCUCUCGCAUAUCAAUAAGCGGAGGAAAAGAAACUAACAAGGAUUCCCCUAGUAACGGCGAGUGAAGCGGGAAGAGCUCAAAUUUGAAAUCUUAAAGGGUUUCCCUUUACGAAUUGUAGUUUAAAGAAGUGUUUUCUGUUGAGGUUUUGGUAAAAGUUCUUUGGAAUAGGACAUCAUAGAGGGUGAGAAUCCCGUAUUUGACCUUUACUUUCAACUUUGUGAUACACUUUCGAAGAGUCGGAUUGUUUGGGAAUGCAGUCCAAAAUGGGUGGUAAAUUUCAUCUAAAGCUAAAUAUUGGCGAGAGACCGAUAGCGAACAAGUACCGUGAGGGAAAGAUGAAAAGAACUUUGAAAAGAGAGUUAAACAGUACGUGAAAUUGUCAAAAGGGAAGCGUUUGACACCAGUGUUGUUUUUCUGAAAAUCAAUUAAAGAACUGUUUAUGCUAAGCUGUUUAGACUUUAUCAGCUAUCUGUUUAGUUUUGAGCUUUUCUUUAAUGCACUUUUCAGUUAACAAGUCAACAUCAAUUUCUUUUGCUGUAAAAAAGCUUGAGGAAGGUGGCUUGAGAUUCGUCUUAAGUGUUUAUAGCCUCUUGCCUAUGCAGUCGGAGAGAUUGAGGUCUGCAGCGUAGAUCCUUCGGGGCUAAAUGCAUUUGUGCUAAGUUAUAGCAUUUUAUAGACAACUUGUUGACUAUGAUUUGUCUUGUAGCUUACUCGCUUAUGUUAUUUUACCUACGCUUAGGAUGUUGAUAUGCAUGACUGAUAU